Molecule: ribosomal RNA, 379 nt
Filed under: uncultured eukaryote
Lineage: Eukaryota
Description: partial 18S ribosomal RNA
Rfam family: Eukaryotic small subunit ribosomal RNA
Source: RNAcentral
CAAUAGCGUAUAUUAAAGUUGUUGCGGUUAAAAAGCUCGUAGUUGGAUUUCUGCUGAGAACGACCGGUCCGCCCUCUGGGUGUGUAUCUGGCUCUUUCUUGGCAUCUUCUUGGUGAACGUUGCUGCACUUGACUGUGUGGAGCGCUACCCAGGACUUUUACUUUGAGGAAAUUAGAGUGUUUCAAGCAGGCAUACGCCUUGAAUACAUUAGCAUGGAAUAAUAAGAUAGGACCUCGGUUCUAUUUUGUUGGUUUCUAGAGCUGAGGUAAUGAUUAAUAGGGAUAGUUGGGGGCAUUCGUAUUUAACUGUCAGAGGUGAGAUUCUUGGAUUUGUUAAAGACGGACUACUGCGAAAGCAUUUGCCAAGGAUGUUUUCAUUG